GAAAAAUGAGUUUGUUUGUUGUUAAGCAUGUAGAGGAUUUGUAUUUAUACAUGUUUUUGAGCUACAAUGUGAUGGAUAGUUUAAAUGUGAGGGAGAAUGGACAGUAAAUGUGAGGUAGAAUUGAGAUUAUUUCAAUUUUAUGUAUUAGGGAAAAAUUAGAGUAAAUGUAUUUUUAAUAUUUAUAAAUUAGCCAUAUAAAUUAUAGGUGUAAUUUCAUACUUUAGUACUUUUCAGAUAGAGGUAUGGAAUUAGCCAUUUUUAGAAUAAGUAAAUUAUGUGGGAAAUAUUGAAUUUUUUAAUAGUUUAGUUAUUUGUAAAUUAAAUAUGAGCUAAAUAAUUUGUGGUACAUAGAGAUGGCUUCUGAUGCUGGAUGUAGUGGCGAUGGUGGGGCAGAUCAUCGUUCCUCUCACGGCAAGGGGAAAACUAUAGUUGGCUCUCACGAUAAGCUAAAGAAAAUGAGUGCGUGAGAGAAAGCAAUGCUUCGUUAUUUGCAAAGAUGUCAUGAAGAUGCUGUUGCGGCGGGUCAGGAACCUCCUUUUGGUGGUCGUUAUGCUCCACCGCCAGUCCCGGGUGUUUUAGGUCCACUUAUAAG
RNAcentral lists this long non-coding RNA (592 nucleotides) under Setaria viridis. RNAcentral's name for it is "long non-coding RNA (SVIR_LNC009571)". Lineage: Eukaryota; Viridiplantae; Streptophyta; Magnoliopsida; Poales; Poaceae. The record is from RNAcentral.